Oncorhynchus gorbuscha (pink salmon) is the source of this 3696-nucleotide RNA transcript. It is a transcript of the gene named aminopeptidase O (putative), with no coding region annotated. NCBI's taxonomy places the organism in Eukaryota, Metazoa, Chordata, Actinopteri, Salmoniformes, Salmonidae. The transcript has 17 exons. The record is from RefSeq and is a predicted model, not a curated record.
GGACAUGCUCGUACUGUCUGUGCCUGGAACUGGAUGCAGCCACUCCAACCAGAAUUAAAUAGAUGACCUCUGAAAUGGAUGGUGAUGGUGAUAUGGACCCAGGCAGGGAUGACUUGCCCCUCAGAGCCAACACCAACCACAUCCUGGUCAGACACUAUGUCUUGGACCUGGACAUAAACCUUCAAACUAAGGUUAUCACUGGUACUGUGGUGCUCUUCCUGGAGCCAGGCGCACUGGCUGGAGAUGGGAAUGGGGCUGGGGAAGGCGCCCCAACCCCACCCCAAACAUCCCAGACUGAUGACUCCUGGGAGGAUGAGAGACACAGAGACUUUACCUUAGUUCUGGACUGCUGUGACCUCACUGUGUCAAAAGUAGAGGAGUUGGACGUGACCUCUGUGUCAGAUAUGCAGGGUCUCCUAAAGGAGGUCAAGGGUGAGGGGUCAGGUGUUGGCCCACAACCAGACAGCCAAUCAGCUGUGCUCAUUCAGAGGCUGAUCUCCCUACCGUCCACCCAAUGGAAAAAGAAACACCACCUGUACUUCCAGUGCAGUCAUGCCCCUGCUUCUGAGGGCGGGGGACCCCUCAUCUUCCACAUUGACCGCUGGAGCCUGCAGGUGAGGAAGAGGGGGGUUCGGACCAUCCAGGAGUUCCCCCGAGCCCUGAGGGUCUGCUACAAGACCAAGCCGGAGGGAGGCUCUGUCAGGUGGACUAAAGAUCAGGACAACAGGUCAUGUGUUUACACCGCCGGCUCCCCCAUCAACAACCGUGCCCUCUUCCCCUGUCAGGAGCCUCCUGUCGCCAUGUCGACGUGGCAGGCCCAGGUACGAGCCCCUAGGGAGUGUGUGGUUCUAUUGAGUGGAGAGAACCAGGCCCAGCCCACGCACCUGCACCACACAGGUCUCUCUAGCUGGGACUACUAUGUAACUAUGCCUAUGCCUGCCUCCACUUUUACCUUGGCAGUGGGUUACUGGCGCCAGGCCACAGCACAACUUUCCACAGCACAGCUUACCCCUCCUGUGCAGGGUACAAGGGCAGGGGCCUCCCAUACGCAUGCUGGCAGCUUGGACCUGAAUCCAUUCACCAGCCCACAGUCUACGGUAGUCUACUCAGGCCUGAAGGAUGAGAAGCACUCUGAGAGCGACUGCUCAGGUCUGGGCGAUCACAACUUCACCUGUUGCCAUGCGGAUUACCCCUGUCCAUUCACCGACCCAUCCGCCUGGAGCCAAGAGGUGGUCCCUCACCGGAUGUUUGCCCCGUCCUCUCUGCUGCAGAAGGCCCAGGUCCAGGUCCUCCCCCUUCUGCCUGGCUGCCUGGCUGCAGCCCACGCUACCCUGGGGGUCCAUCCCUUCCCCCGCCUCGACGUACUCAUCGUCCCAGCAAGCUUCUCUAGUCUGGGCAUGGCCAGCCCCCACAUCAUUUUCCUGUCACAGAGUGUGCUGUGUGGAGACAGAGAGGGAGACGGAGAGGGAGUUGGAGGAGAGCGGGGCCUGUCUCUGUGUGGGUCUCGUCUGUGCCAUGAGCUGUCCCACUCGUGGUUUGGCCUGGCCAUCGGGGCCCGGGACUGGACAGAGGAGUGGAUCAGUGAGGGCUUUGCCACAUACCUGGAGGACAUCAUCUGGGCCCGGGCACAGCAGUUGUCCAGCAAAGAGACAGAGGAACAGUCUCAACUCAAGGCUCUGCUGAGGUGGAGGAGACUCUCAGACGAACUACAGAACUCCGAGGAGCAGCUGCAGAUCCUCAGGCCCAACAUGGAGAGUACAGGCCAGGUCAGUGAGUCUGGGUCGUCCCUGGUCAAACAUGCCCUCAACCCUGAGAAAACCUUCAUGCAAGUCCACUACCUCAAGGGCUACUUCCUCCUCAGGUUCCUGGCCAGUAAAGUAGGACUUGAAUACUUCCUCCACUUCUUCAGACUCUUUAUAAAGAAAUACCAUGGACAACUGAUUCUCUCUCAGGAUUUCUUGCAAAUGCUGCUGGAGACCUUUCCUGACAUCGAGCGACAAGGCCUAACCCUCGAAGCUAUUUAUGCAGACUGGCUGGAUCGACCAGGAGUUCCUAAGUGGCUGUGUGUAGGGAGUGUCGUAUGGACACAGACUCGGCUGGUGGAAGACGUCAAAGCAGAGGUAGCAAAAUGGAUUGGUCUCAGUCCGAGCGUUGGAAAAGGCAGAAAGCGGAAGAAAGCUGGACUGAACUUGAACUUCAAAGAGGUGAUGCCGGAGCAGCUGGUGUUGCUUUUGGAGAUUCUGCUGGAGGAGGCGGAGCUAAGUGUGACAUCACUACGUACGAUCAAGAGAACCUACGAUCUACCGAAGCAGGACGCUGAGGUGAGGCAUCGCUGGUGUGAGCUAGUGAUCAAACACAAAUACGCUCAGGCUUAUGGAGAUGUGGAGCACUUCCUCAUACACGACCAGGCCAUGGGUGUUUAUCUGUACGGAGAGCUGAUGAUUCAAGAGGACUCUAGACAACAGGCCCUGGCCAGGCGCUGCCUCUCAUUGGUCCAGAACGAAAUGGACCAAUCAGCUCGCAGAGUGGUAGAGGAGAUGGUCCUAUGAGGGGGCACACAAAAGGUACUGACCCACCCAGCUGUGCCAUCUCAAAAUUAUAGGCUGCCCAGCUGCCCGCCUUGGGACAUGGAAGGGAGAGGAAACACUGAGAAAGUAAUGCUCUCACUACUUCCCCUUCAGACAGGAAGACCAAACGCCAACCUGUUUUCUUUCCUGCAUGAUCAAUGAAGUUGAAGCACUGUACUGUACAUACUAAUAGUAAUAGGUGAUGUGUAGAUAGGCCUGCGUCCCAAAAUGGCACCCUAUUUCCUAUAUAGUGCACUACUUUUGACCAGUGCCCUAUUAGCCCUUUGUCUUUGGGCAAAAGUAGUAAACGAUAAUGGGAAUAUGGUGUCAUUUGGUACGCCCAUAGUUAUGUUCUCCAGAAUUCUCAAAAAUAUAGGAAUCGAAAAGAAAGACUAUUGUCAUGGCAUUUGUAUAAAUAUAAUAAUGCCUCUUUACUGAACUUUCUGAUUUAGCCUCAGUUUCAAUUCUCCUCAUUAGGAAAUGCGACAGAAUGAGAUUUGGGUCUUGGAGGUGUCCUUUGAUGUGGAGAUUUGGGUCUUGGAGGUGUGCUUUGAUGUGAGUGUCUCUUGUGUGUUUGAACGUGGGAUCGUUUGUACAUUCAUUCUGAAAAAAAUAACAGUACAGCUACAGUCACUCACCCUUCUAGAUAACUUGAAACAGUCUAACCAGGUCUUGUGUCUGGACGCCACCUGCAGAUUCAUACUACAGCUAUGACAAUUAUUAUUAGCUAUUAUUAUUAUUAUAUAUAUAUUACAAUUAGUUUGUAUUGCUAGUAGUAUGGGUUGGGAUUAUGUUUUUUUUAGCUUGCUAGCUACAUUACACGGCCCAUCAAGUUAGCCAGUUGUAUCUGGGGGUGAUUACGGCCAUCUACUGUAUUUCAUGAACAUGUGUACAUGUCUAGACAAUAGUGACCCAUCCACUUAGCUGGAUGUGGCUGGGGAGUGGUUAUAGCAUGACCCAUCCAAUGUAAACAAGUGUGUCUGGGUAAGCAGCUGAUAAUGAUCAAAUAUUUUUAUCUGGACACUUUCUGUUUUUUGAUAUUGCUACUAAUCAAAUAUGUAAGUAAACAUUUCACUGUACCGUUUACACCUUUGUAUGUGACAAAUAAACAUCGAUUUGAUAUAGUGUU